Molecule: ribosomal RNA, 495 nt
Filed under: uncultured Burkholderiales bacterium
Lineage: Bacteria; Pseudomonadati; Pseudomonadota; Betaproteobacteria; Burkholderiales
Description: bacterial SSU rRNA
Rfam family: Bacterial small subunit ribosomal RNA
Source: RNAcentral
AUUGAACGCUGGCGGUAUGCUUAACACAUGCAAGUCGAACGGCAGCACGGGUGCUUGCACCUGGUGGCGAGUGGCGAACGGGUGAGUAAUACAUCGGAACGUGCCCAGUUGUGGGGGAUAGCCCGGCGAAAGCCGGAUUAAUACCGCAUACGAUCUCUGGAUGAAAGCGGGGGACCUUCGGGCCUCGCGCAGCUGGAGCGGCCGAUGGCAGAUUAGCUAGUUGGUGAGGUAAUGGCUCACCAAGGCGACGAUCCGUAGCUGGUCUGAGAGGACGGCCAGCCACACUGGGACUGAGACACGGCCCAGACUCCUACGGGAGGCAGCAGUGGGGAAUUUUGGACAAUGGGGGAAACCCUGAUCCAGCCAUUCCGCGUGUGCGACGAAGGCCUUAGGGUUGUAAAGCACUUUUGGCAGGGAAGAAACGUCAUCAGAUAAUACCUGGUGAAACUGACGGUACCUGCAGAAUAAGCACCGGCUAACUACGUGCCAGCCGCC